RNAcentral lists this unclassified non-coding RNA (806 nucleotides) under Hevea brasiliensis (rubber tree). Lineage: Eukaryota; Viridiplantae; Streptophyta; Magnoliopsida; Malpighiales; Euphorbiaceae. The record is from RNAcentral.
AAUCUUCAUAGCAUCCCACAUCUCAAAGUAUGUAGUUGGCAGAUCUCCAGUGAAUUUAUUCUCAGAUAGGUCAAUGAUUUGAAGCGCAGAAAAAUUAUCGGUUCCAACUUUCCUUAAUGCACCAUGAAAGCGAUUGGAUCUCAAAAUGAGGACUCUCAACUCUGGAAGAUUUCCUAACCAAGAAGGGAAACUAUCAUUUAAUUGAUUUUCCCCAAAGUCGAUAAACUCUAACAUUGAACAAUUGGCCAAUGAUUGUGGUACUUGCCCUUGCAAUCUGUUGUGGUUUAAACUGAUAAAUCUCAAAUUGCAUCCAUUUCUCCAUGUUGGGGAAAUACUUCCAUCAAAGUAAUUGGAUGGAACUGAGAGUAGUGAUCCUUGUAUCAUAUUAGACCGAAUGUCUAAAACGCUUAGAUGAGCCCAUUGAAGAACAAUCGGACCUUCCUCAAAACCAGUUAAGAAGUUAUAAGAAAGGUUCAUAUACUCCAAUGAAUUUUUACUUAUGUUCCACAGCCAUGAAGGUAUUGGGCCUUGUAUGUUGUUUGAGGAAAGGUCUAGGAGCUGCAACUCAUAUUGAUUGUGCAAGAAAUGGGGCAAUUCACUGAGGUUGCAAGAAGCUAAUCCUAAAUAAGUAAAAUUAGGAAUGAUGGCAUUUGUGUUGCUUUCUAUGAGUAACCAUAAGUUGUUGUAUGAUAACAUCAAAGUCCGCAACGUUUUGAGCUGAAAGAAGAUAUUCACAUCCACAACUCCAGAUAAAUUGUUUGAAUGGAAGCUGAGAGUAUGAAGAUUCUUGAGAUUAGAAAGAGUGC